This 404-nucleotide ribosomal RNA is filed under the name uncultured soil bacterium. Its description in RNAcentral is "bacterial SSU rRNA". It matches the Rfam family "Bacterial small subunit ribosomal RNA", at positions 26 to 404 of the family's 1533-position model. The record is from RNAcentral.
AGAGCGAACGUUGGCGGCGCGCUUAACACAUGCAAGUCGUACGAGAAAAGGGGCAACCCUGAGUAGAGUGGCGCACGGGUGCGUAACACGUAGGCAAUCUUCCCUCGGGAGGGGGAUAACCAUCCGAAAGGAUGGCUAAUACCGCGUAAGACCACAGCUGCUUCGGCAGCAGAGGUCAAAGGGGGCCUCUCCAUGGAAGCUCUCACCUGAGGAUGAGCCUGCGGCCCAUCAGCUAGUUGGCAGGGUAACGCCUACCAAGGCUAAGACGGUAGCUGGUCUAGAGAGGAUGAUCGAGCCCACACGUGGACACUAGAAACACCGGGACCAGACCUCCGUACGGGAGCAGCGAGGUGGGGAAUAGUUGGAACAAGUGGGACGAAAGCUGAUCCGAGCGACGCGCGUGG